RNAcentral lists this ribosomal RNA (375 nucleotides) under uncultured Pseudomonadota bacterium. Its description in RNAcentral is "bacterial SSU rRNA". It matches the Rfam family "Bacterial small subunit ribosomal RNA", at positions 958 to 1392 of the family's 1533-position model. The record is from RNAcentral. Lineage: Bacteria; Pseudomonadati; Pseudomonadota.
AACGCGAAGAACCUUACCUACCCUUGACAUGGAUGGAACCGAAGAGAUUUGGUAGUGCGAAAGAGAACCAACACAGGUGCUGCAUGGCUGGAGCGUGGUGAGAUGUUGGGUUAAGCCGCAACGAGCGCAACCCUUGAUUAGUUGCUACGAAAGGGCACUAAUGAGACUGCCGGUGACAAACCGGAGGAAGGUGGGGAUGACGAAGCAUGGCCCUUAUGGGUAGGGCUACACGAUACAAUGGUACAUACAGAGGGCCGCCAACCCGCGAGGGGGAGCUAACCAGAAAGUGUAGUAGCGGAUUGGAGUGCAACGACCAUGAAGUUGGAAGCUAGUAAGCGGAAGCAUGGCGGUGAAUACGUCCGGGUGUACACACCG